This 70-nucleotide transfer RNA is filed under the name Bos taurus (domestic cattle). It matches the Rfam family "tRNA". From Rfam's summary of the family: Transfer RNA (tRNA) molecules are approximately 80 nucleotides in length. Their secondary structure includes four short double-helical elements and three loops (D, anti-codon, and T loops). Further hydrogen bonds mediate the characteristic L-shaped molecular structure. tRNAs have two regions of fundamental functional importance: the anti-codon, which is responsible for specific mRNA codon recognition, and the 3' end, to which the tRNAs corresponding amino acid is attached (by aminoacyl-tRNA synthetases). tRNAs cope with the degeneracy of the genetic code in two manners: having more than one tRNA (with a specific anti-codon) for a particular amino acid; and 'wobble' base-pairing, i.e. permitting non-standard base-pairing at the 3rd anti-codon position. Lineage: Eukaryota; Metazoa; Chordata; Mammalia; Artiodactyla; Bovidae. RNAcentral also lists the same sequence under 5 other names. The record is from Rfam by way of RNAcentral.
UCUGGUGUCUUAGAAGGUUAAGAAUCUGCCUGCAAUGCAGGAGACCUGGGUUUUAUCCCUGGAUCCAGAA